AGCUAGUUGGUGGGGUAAUGGCCCACCAAGGCGAUGAUGGGUAGCUGGUCUGAGAGGAUGGCCAGCCACAUUGGGACUGAGAUACGGCCCAGACUCCUACGGGAGGCAGCAGUGGGGAAUCUUUCGCAAUGGGCGAAAGCCUGACGGAGCGACACCGCGUGGGGGAUGAAGGCCUUCGGGUUGUAAACCCCUUUUCUGGGGGAAGAAUAAGGGCGGGAGGAAAUGCCCGUCCGAUGACGGUACCCCAGGAAUAAGCAUCGGCUAACUUCGUGCCAGCAGCCGCGGUAAGACGAAGGAUGCGAGCGUUAUCCGGAAUUACUGGGCGUAAAGGGCGUCUAGGCGGCUGAGCAAGUCACCUGUGAAAGCCCUCGGCUCAACCGAGGAAUGGCGGGUGAUACUGUUCGUUCGAGUGCAGGAGAGGGGGGUGGAACUCACAGAGUAGCGGUGAAAUGCGUAGAUACUGNGAGGUACCCCGAUGGCGAAGGCAACCCCCUGGCCUGCUACUGACGCUGAAGCGCGAAAGCGUGGGGAGCGAAGGGGAUUAGAUACCCCCGUAGUCCACGCCCCAAACGAUGUUCACUUGGUGUCGGUCGCUUAGAUUGAUCGGUGCCGAAGCUAACGCGUUAAGUGAACCGCCUGGGGAGUACGGCCGCAAGGCUAGAACUCAAGAGAAUUGACGGGUCCCCGCACAAGCGGUGGAGCACGUGGUUUAAUUCGAUGCUAAACGAAGAACCUCACCUGGGCUUGACAUGCUAGUGGUAGGAACCGGAAACGGGGACGACCCCUGCCUUCGGGUAGGGGAGCUAGCACAGGUGAUGCAUGGCUGUCGUCAGCUCGUGUCGUGGGACGUAGGGUUAAGUCCCGGAACGAGCGCAACCCCUGUCGUCAGUUGCCAGCGGGUAAUGCCGGGGACUCUGACGAGACUGCCGGUGAAUAGCCGGAGGAAGGAGGGGAUGACGUCAAGUCAUCAUGUCCCUUAUGCCCAGGGCGACACACAUGCUACAAUGGGGGGUACAAAGGGUUGCAAACCCGCAAGGGGGAGCCAAUCCCAAAAAGCCCUCCUCAGUUCGGAUUGAGGUCUGCAACUCGACCUCAUGAAGCCGGAAUCGCUAGUAAUCGCGGGUCAGCCAUACCGCGGUGAAUAUGUACUCGGGGAUUGUACACACCGCCCGUCA
RNAcentral lists this ribosomal RNA (1175 nucleotides) under uncultured bacterium. RNAcentral describes it as "bacterial SSU rRNA". It matches the Rfam family "Bacterial small subunit ribosomal RNA", at positions 243 to 1399 of the family's 1533-position model. The record is from RNAcentral.